Molecule: ribosomal RNA, 211 nt
Filed under: uncultured bacterium
Lineage: Bacteria
Description: partial 16S ribosomal RNA
Source: RNAcentral
GCUCCCUCCGCGCCACUCCACGACNCCUACCGGAGGCGUGGCACGUGGGGAAGUAGUUGCGCGAAUGGGCGAAGACCUGACGCAGCGACGCCGACGUCGGGGAGUGGACGCUUUCGGAGUGUAACCCUUCGAUCGGACGAAUGCUCGCAAGAGGAGUGACGGUACCGGUAGAAGAAGCCCGGCUAACUACGUGCCAGCCGCCGCGUAAUAC